Haliaeetus leucocephalus (bald eagle) is the source of this 392-nucleotide long non-coding RNA. RefSeq lists it as uncharacterized. Lineage: Eukaryota; Metazoa; Chordata; Aves; Accipitriformes; Accipitridae. The transcript has 4 exons. The record is from RefSeq and is a predicted model, not a curated record.
UGGGGGGGGGGAACAAUGGGAUGGCACAAAUUACAAGGGGAAGAAAGAUACAUUUUCAGGGCAGGUCAGCAAGGAGAACAGGCUAAGAGGACAAGAGCCAACGACAAAGAGAAAGAAAAUAAUUUUGUCAGGGUGCUCUACCAGCCAUAAGUAUUCAGCCUCCUGAGAACAAAUGACUGUCUCGAUUAGCAAGCAGGAUGAGUAAAUAUGUAGACUAGAACAUGAUGCUGAGGACAGUGUGUUGCCAACGAGCUCUAGUCUAAUCAGGAGAUUUGCUCCAGAAGUGUGCUCCUCAUACAAAUGAAAAUGCACUUCAUCCAUCCGUGCAGUCCAGUUCCAAGCCCCCUUUUUGUGAAAUGAUGCAACUUGAGUGCUUACCUGUAAGUUGUAAC